RNAcentral lists this long non-coding RNA (639 nucleotides) under Vulpes vulpes (red fox). Its description in RNAcentral is "lncRNA (ENSVVUG00000030329.1)". The record is from RNAcentral. Lineage: Eukaryota; Metazoa; Chordata; Mammalia; Carnivora; Canidae.
AUCAGCACUCUAAUGAUAUCUACGAUAUCUAUGAUAUCUGUAUGUUGCUAGGAUUUUUCUGCAUGGUAUUAUAACCAGCAAAAUCUUUUGUUUUGUUUUGUUUUUAAAGAUUUUUAUUUAUUUAUUCAUGAGACACACAGAGAGAGAGGCAGAGACACAGGCAGAGGGAGAAACAGUGUCCCUGCCGGGAGCCCGAUGUGGGACUCGAUCCAGGGCCCUAGGAUCUCGCCCUGGGCCAGAGGCAGAUGCUCAACUGCUGAGCCACCCAGGUGCCCCAGGAUAAUCAUUUUGGAAAGAAUGUCAGUCAAGUCCAUCUCUGUCACUGAGGAUUUCACUCCGGCGAAUUUUCAGGACAAAGAAAAACCUGUACCAAUCCUCUUUCCUUUUAACCAAAUCUAAUAUGUCCAAAUGCAUUAGUACUCUCUAUUUCCUCCAAAGAUAAUUGGCAGACAUCGAUGUCUCUCCUUUUAAGUAACUGCCAAAGAGUACACUAAAAAGCUCUAGGGAAUCUGGUAAGCCAUUUGUAAUGAUGUCAAUAGGUUUAAAUAUCACACUAACAAUGAAUCACUCUUCCAUUAACAAAAUUAUUUCUAAAACUGCCAUCAUCAUUAUUUCAAUAAAUGUGCAUUUGUUAUAUCA